This 503-nucleotide ribosomal RNA is filed under the name uncultured bacterium. RNAcentral's name for it is "partial 16S ribosomal RNA". It matches the Rfam family "Bacterial small subunit ribosomal RNA", at positions 29 to 523 of the family's 1533-position model. The record is from RNAcentral.
AACGAACGCUGGCGGCGUGUUUAAGACAUGCAAGUCGCACGGGAUAAGACAUGUAGUAAUACUUGUUUUAUUUAGUGGCGCACGGGUGAGUAACACGUGAAUUACAUGCCCAAUAGUGGGGAAUAGCCCAGGGAAACUUGGAUUAAUACCCCAUGGUAUCGAAAGAUUAAAGGUGGCCGCAAGGCUGUCGCUAUAGGAUUGGUUCGCGCCCUAUCAGCUUGUUGGUGAGGUAACGGCUCACCAAGGCAAUGACGGGUACCUGGUCUGAGGGGACGAUCAGGCACACUGGAACUGAGACACGGUCCAGACACCUACGGGUGGCAGCAGUCGAGAAUAAUUCACAAUGGGGGCAACCCUGAUGGUGCAACGCCGCGUGGAGGAUGACGGUCUUCGGAUUGUAAACUCCUGUCAUCUGGGAGAAAGACCUGACGGUAAAUAGCCGGCAGGGUUGAUAGUACCAGAAGAGGAAGGGACGGCUAACUUCGUGCCAGCAGCAGCCGCAG